Molecule: long non-coding RNA, 907 nt
Organism: Chenopodium quinoa (quinoa)
Lineage: Eukaryota; Viridiplantae; Streptophyta; Magnoliopsida; Caryophyllales; Amaranthaceae
Exons: 5
Source: RefSeq, a predicted model, not a curated record
UUUUUUAAGCUUACUUUGCCAUUUUUUAAGCAUCUAAAAAAUUGUCAUUCUCCGGAAGUAGCAAUGUUUUCAAAGCAUAGAGGUUCUGUCACUUGUCUGAGUUUUGAAGGUCUUUGCUUCUCCGUUUUAUCGCUUGGAAACUUCCAACAAAUUUAGAUUCAACAUUGAAGAUAGAUGCGAUGCAUUUCUUCUUUUCCAGUAGUAAUGUGAUAUUGGGUCAAAGAAAGAAGGCUCCUUAGACCUCCAUUGGCACGUCAGCAUGUCAUUAUAAAACAGUGAGUUGGGGCAUGACGCAUGAGCACGUUAAAUAUGAAUGAAUCAGCCGGGCCAUAUUGCUUGGAACUUGGAAGUUGAGAUAGGAUCAUAGGAGCAAGUUUUAAUCAUGGGAAUGAAGCAAGUGGUAAAUUCGGUGUUCCAUCCCCAAUCAGUUGAGAGUACGCUACGUUGAGCUACGAGUUUCUCACACCGCAACAGGUAUUCAUAUCACGUGCCCAACUCUAACUAACAUGUGGGAUGAGUUACCACUAUUAUUGGGAUUUGGGAAAGUUGUCCACCUUUUUUUCUGGAUUGUCAGAAUCUUAAAAGACCUGCACCCCCUAUCCUGCAUCGCUGAAGGAGAAGGGCAAACAUUUGGAACUAUGGAGGAUUCUCAUCUCCAAUUACCAUCACUUGGCACAUUUGGAUCGCUAGGUAACAACUCUAGACUUAUAUUACUUUCGUAUAAUUUGGUUUUUAUAUAUAUAAUAGUACUAUAGUUUGAAUAUCAAGAAAACAGACAUACCUUCAACUUGAAAUUUGUAAUUGUAAUUGUUACCAAGGUAUGUACCUGCUGCAAACUCUUAAGCAAUGCUUUGAGCUUUCUCGGGGCAACCACUAAACUCUUGUUUGAAAUAUAAUUAGUGCCUCC